CAUUGAGACACUGGUUCCGAUAUGAUCACCGAAGUGAAGCAACAUUGAGAUUGGUCAGUAACUAGAUGGGUAACCUCUUGGGAAUACCAGGUCUUGUAAG
Acanthosepion pharaonis is the source of this 100-nucleotide non-coding RNA. Lineage: Eukaryota; Metazoa; Mollusca; Cephalopoda; Sepiida; Sepiidae. The record is from the annotation of a GenBank genome assembly.